UACAGAGGUCCCAAGCGUUGUUCGGAUUCACUGGGCGUAAAGGGUGCGUAGGUGGUCGGGUAAGUCUGAUGUGAAAUCUCCGAGCUUAACUCGGAAACUGCAUCGGAUACUAUUCGGCUGGAGGGUUGGAGGGGGGACUGGAAUACUUGGUGUAGCAGUGAAAUGCGUAGAUAUCAAGUGGAACACCAGUGGCGAAGGCGAGUCCCUGGACAACUCCUGACACUGAGGCACGAAAGCUAGGGGAGCAAACAGG
Molecule: ribosomal RNA, 253 nt
Filed under: uncultured bacterium
Lineage: Bacteria
Description: partial 16S ribosomal RNA
Rfam family: Bacterial small subunit ribosomal RNA
Source: RNAcentral